GACGAACGCUGGCGGCGUGCCUAAUACAUGCAAGUAGAACGCUGAAGAGAGGAGCUUGCUCUUCUUGGAUGAGUUGCGAACGGGUGAGUAACGCGUAGGUAACCUGCCUUGUAGCGGGGGAUAACUAUUGGAAACGAUAGCUAAUACCGCAUAACAAUGGAUGACACAUGUCAUUUAUUUGAAAGGGGCAAUUGCUCCACUACAAGAUGGACCUGCGUUGUAUUAGCUAGUAGGUGAGGUAAUGGCUCACCUAGGCGACGAUACAUAGCCGACCUGAGAGGGUGAUCGGCCACACUGGGACUGAGACACGGCCCAGACUCCUACGGGAGGCAGCAGUAGUGAAUCUUCGGCAAUGGGGGCAACCCUGACCGAGCAACGCCGCGUGAGUGAAGAAGGUUUUCGGAUCGUAAAGCUCUGUUGUAAGUCAAGAACGGGUGUGAGAGUGGAAAGUUCACACUGUGACGGUAGCUUACCAGAAAGGGACGGCUAACUACGUG
Molecule: ribosomal RNA, 497 nt
Filed under: uncultured bacterium
Lineage: Bacteria
Description: partial 16S ribosomal RNA
Rfam family: Bacterial small subunit ribosomal RNA
Source: RNAcentral